RNAcentral lists this ribosomal RNA (530 nucleotides) under Boophis quasiboehmei. RNAcentral's name for it is "partial 16S ribosomal RNA". The stretch from base 1 to 416 matches the Rfam family "Bacterial large subunit ribosomal RNA", at positions 696 to 1300 of the family's 2925-position model. Lineage: Eukaryota; Metazoa; Chordata; Amphibia; Anura; Mantellidae. The record is from RNAcentral.
CGACUUUUAGUUUGCCUUCCCGAAACUAAGUGAGCUACUUUAAAGCAGCUAUUAGAGCUAACCCGUCUCUGUCGCAAAAGAGUGGGGUGACUUUAAAGUAGAGGUGAUAGACCUACCGAACUUAGAGAUAGCUGGUUUUUUAAGAAAAGAAUUUUAGUUCAGCCCCAAGCCUUUCGUUAAGCAAAAAACCUUCUUAGGCCUGGGAGUCAUUCAUAUAGGGCACAGCCUAUUUGAAACAGGAUACAACCUAGAAUAUAGGGUAAAACAAUGUGAUUUUUCUAUAAGUGGGCUUGAAAGCAGCCACCUUUCAAAAAGCGUUGUAGCUUAUUGAUACUGAUUAUUUAAUAACCUCAAAAAUGUUUAACCCAUACACACUAUUAAACUAUCCCAUAAAUUUAUGGGAGCUAUCAUGCUAGAACAAGUAACAAGAAAAAGAUUUUUCUCCAAAAUACAAGCUUUAGCCGCUACAGACAAACUACCGGCAAUUAACGCCUUUUAACUAAUUUUAGUAACUCUAACAAGAAAACCCU